Pelobates cultripes (western spadefoot toad) is the source of this 862-nucleotide non-coding RNA. The record is from the annotation of a GenBank genome assembly. NCBI's taxonomy places the organism in Eukaryota, Metazoa, Chordata, Amphibia, Anura, Pelobatidae.
CAAAACAAAGUUGCAAUAGAGACUCUAUCUUAAUAACUAGCAAGCACGAUGUGGUAAUUAGAAUAAAUAACUAACUAAUAAUACAAUUGUAGCUAGUAGUGCACAUAGAUAGUGGAGCCUAAAUCAUUAAAGUGACUCACACAAACUGCUAAAGACAAAAAAAGCAGGUUGAAAGAAAGCUAGAGAAUGAUGAUAAAAUAUUGAAUGAAAAAUGAAUCAUAAUUAAUGCUUUCUAAGUUUGGUCACAUAAGUCUGCUCCAGUCCUUAACAGGAAUGAUACUUGGGAUUCAUGUAGGAGUGUGGUAAUGCCGGUAGAGAGACCACACUGAGAGUUGUUACAAUGAAUCACCCGAGUCCCCUGACGCGCGCCUUUCGCCCACAACUCAUCAGAGGGGAACCGAUGUGUGGUGAGUAUCAGCUAUUUAAAGGUCAUGGAUGAAGCUGAUAGGGAGAAUUUGAAAAAGACCGCUGAUUCGGUUUGGCCAAUGAGGAUUGCCGGUAAGUAUGACAGCCUAUGAUAUGUGUAUACUUGAUUAACACUGUCAAGUACAUUAUGACAGGGUACAGGGAAAGUAGUUGAAAAAAUGUCGAAAAACAAAGAGGGAGGAAAAAAGAUGGGUUUGAAUGUAAAAUAACCUAGAAAGAUAAAGAAUAAUUCUAACUUUUGUAUAUAUGCCAAUAAAAUAUAUCCGAUAAAUUGAGAGUGGUUAGUAGCACUGUCCGAUCAUCAGGACAGUAUAUGAAAGAAGACCGUAUUGAUGUUCAGAGGGAAGUAGAAGACCAAUGCUGCCCUAUAGAAAUUGGACAGACUAGACGGGUACAGGUGGACAAUAAUAAAAAUGUAAAUAUAAAGAGAAUAUAG